Molecule: ribosomal RNA, 465 nt
Filed under: Vreelandella stevensii
Lineage: Bacteria; Pseudomonadati; Pseudomonadota; Gammaproteobacteria; Oceanospirillales; Halomonadaceae
Description: partial 16S ribosomal RNA
Rfam family: Bacterial small subunit ribosomal RNA
Source: RNAcentral
CCUACGGGGGGCUGCAGUGGUGAAUAUUGGACAAUGGGGGCAACCCUGAUCCAGCCAUGCCGCGUGUGUGAAGAAGGCCCUCGGGUUGUAAAGCACUUUCAGUGAGGAAGAACGCCUGGUGGUUAAUACCCAUCAGGAAAGACAUCACUCACAGAAGAAGCACCGGCUAACUCCGUGCCAGCAGCCGCGGUAAUACGGAGGGUGCGAGCGUUAAUCGGAAUUACUGGGCGUAAAGCGCGCGUAGGUGGCUUGAUAAGCCGGUUGUGAAAGCCCCGGGCUCAACCUGGGAACGGCAUCCGGAACUGUCAAGCUAGAGUGCAGGAGAGGAAGGUAGAAUUCCCGGUGUAGCGGUGAAAUGCGUAGAGAUCGGGAGGAAUACCAGUGGCGAAGGCGGCCUUCUGGACUGACACUGACACUGAGGUGCGAAAGCGUGGGUAGCAAACAGGAUUAGAUACCCUUGUAGUC